GGGGAAAUGGGGGGGGUGCUACACAUGCAAGUCGAACGGGAAUCUUCGGAUUCUAGUGGCGGACGGGUGAGUAACGCGUAAGAAUCUAACUUCAGGACGGGGACAACAGUUGGAAACGACUGCUAAUACCCGAUGUGCCGCAAGGUGAAACCUAAUUGGCCUGGAGAAGAGCUUGCGUCUGAUUAGCUAGUUGGUGGGGUAAGAGCCUACCAAGGCGACGAUCAGUAGCUGGUCUGAGAGGAUGAGCAGCCACACUGGGACUGAGACACGGCCCAGACUCCUACGGGAGGCAGCAGUGGGGAAUUUUCCGCAAUGGGCGAAAGCCUGACGGAGCAACGCCGCGUGAGGGAGGAAGGUCUUUGGAUUGUAAACCUCUUUUCUCAAGGAAGAAGUUCUGACGGUACUUGAGGAAUCAGCCUCGGCUAACUCCGUGCCAGCAGCCGCGGUAAUACGGGGGAGGCAAGCGUUAUCCGGAAUUAUUGGGCGUAAAGCGUCCGCAGGUGGUCAGCCAAGUCUGCCGUCAAAUCAGGUUGCUUAACGACCUAAAGGCGGUGGAAACUGGCAGACUAGAGAGCAGUAGGGGUAGCAGGAAUUCCCAGUGUAGCGGUGAAAUGCGUAGAGAUUGGGAAGAACAUCGGUGGCGAAAGCGUGCUACUGGGCUGUAUCUGACACUCAGGGACGAAAGCUAGGGGAGCGAAAGGGAUUAGAUACCCCUGUAGUCCUAGCCGUAAACGAUGGAUACUAGGCGUGGCUUGUAUCGACCCGAGCCGUGCCGAAGCUAACGCGUUAAGUAUCCCGCCUGGGGAGUACGCACGCAAGUGUGAAACUCAAAGGAAUUGACGGGGGCCCGCACAAGCGGUGGAGUAUGUGGUUUAAUUCGAUGCAACGCGAAGAACCUUACCAAGACUUGACAUGUCGCGAACCCUGGUGAAAGCUGGGGGUGCCUUCGGGAGCGCGAACACAGGGUGGUGCAUGGCCUGUCGUCAGCUUCGUGUCGUUGAGAUGUUGGGGUUAAGGUCCCGCAACGAAGCGCAACCCUCGGUC
This 1044-nucleotide ribosomal RNA is filed under the name uncultured bacterium. RNAcentral describes it as "bacterial SSU rRNA". It matches the Rfam family "Bacterial small subunit ribosomal RNA", at positions 26 to 1110 of the family's 1533-position model. The record is from RNAcentral.